Molecule: small RNA, 48 nt
Filed under: Indibacter alkaliphilus LW1
Lineage: Bacteria; Pseudomonadati; Bacteroidota; Cytophagia; Cytophagales; Cyclobacteriaceae
Description: Acido-Lenti-1 RNA
Rfam family: Acido-Lenti-1 RNA
Source: Rfam by way of RNAcentral
CCCAGGGUUGAAACCCUGGGCUAUUACAUUAUUCGCCCUUACAGGGCU